UUCUAGUUGUUUGUCAGUUCUAAUGCAUCUCAAGUAUUUACCAAUUCUUAAGAAACAUUCCAGUGAUCUCAUUUGCAUCCUCCUUAGCUUAAAUUUUGUAGUUUCAUUCUCAGUGCAAAUUUAACGUUAUCUGGUGUCUCCAUCUGUUUUUUUACCUCAUUGGUUUAAAUAGUCCAGAGCAGUUUAGUCAUAUGGCCUGAAAUAGUUGUGAUGUGUCUGAUUUGAGUUGAGGAAAUAGCUAAGCAAGUUUUCACUUCCACUCUUUGGUUUUGAGAGGCUGGGAAAUCAGCAGUUUCUGUAAACAGUUAAGAGAAGAGAGGAAUACUGUUUCACUGUUAAGCAAGCUGAAGUGAAAUAGACCUUUUAAAAAGAGCAGAACACAUAGAAUCUUACUUUCUCUCAAGAAGUUCUUUUGUUUAGUUCCCCUCCCUAUUCAGGUGCCUCCUUUGGUACCUGCUCAGACAACAUUGACAUCCCUCAGUGUUCACCUCAAGGAACCUGGCUGGCCUUGGGCUGCAGAAGAGAAAAAUAAAAUGACAAACCUUCCCCCAAAUUU
This 556-nucleotide long non-coding RNA is filed under the name Bos taurus (domestic cattle). RNAcentral describes it as "long non-coding RNA NONBTAT009146". Lineage: Eukaryota; Metazoa; Chordata; Mammalia; Artiodactyla; Bovidae. The record is from RNAcentral.